RNAcentral lists this ribosomal RNA (253 nucleotides) under uncultured Alteromonadaceae bacterium. RNAcentral's name for it is "partial 16S ribosomal RNA". It matches the Rfam family "Bacterial small subunit ribosomal RNA", at positions 524 to 776 of the family's 1533-position model. Lineage: Bacteria; Pseudomonadati; Pseudomonadota; Gammaproteobacteria; Alteromonadales; Alteromonadaceae. The record is from RNAcentral.
UACGGAGGGUGCGAGCGUUAAUCGGAAUUACUGGGCGUAAAGCGCACGUAGGCGGUUUGUUAAGCUGGAUGUGAAAGCCCCGGGCUCAACCUGGGAAUUGCACUCAGAACUGGCAGGCUAGAGUACGGUAGAGGUGAGUGGAAUUUCCUGUGUAGCGGUGAAAUGCGUAGAUAUAGGAAGGAACAUCAGUGGCGAAGGCGACUCACUGGACUGAUACUGACGCUGAGGUGCGAAAGCGUGGGGAGCAAACAGG